GCCAGCAGCAUACCACCCUGCAUCCCACUGCUGGCUUGCUUCUGAAGCUAAGCAGGGUUGGUCCUGGAUGGGAGACCAGAUGCUGUUGGAA
RNAcentral lists this ribosomal RNA (91 nucleotides) under Hucho hucho (huchen). The record is from RNAcentral. Lineage: Eukaryota; Metazoa; Chordata; Actinopteri; Salmoniformes; Salmonidae.